Molecule: ribosomal RNA, 230 nt
Filed under: uncultured bacterium
Lineage: Bacteria
Description: partial 16S ribosomal RNA
Rfam family: Bacterial small subunit ribosomal RNA
Source: RNAcentral
ACGCUCGACACCUACUGGAGGCAGCAGUAGGGAAUCUUCCACAAUGGGCGCAAGCCUGAUGGAGCAACACCGCGUGAGUGAAGAAGGGUUUCGGCUCGUAAAGCUCUGUUGUUGGAGAAGAACGUGCGUGAGAGUAACUGUUCACGCAGUGACGGUAUCCAACCAGAAAGUCACGGCUAACUACGUGCCAGCACGCCGACGGUAAUCGUGAGGCGGGCGUGGACGAAGGC